Molecule: ribosomal RNA, 428 nt
Filed under: uncultured bacterium
Lineage: Bacteria
Description: bacterial SSU rRNA
Rfam family: Bacterial small subunit ribosomal RNA
Source: RNAcentral
UGGGGAAUCUUCCGCAAUGGACGAAAGUCUGACGGAGCAACGCCGCGUGAGUGAAGAAGGUUUUCGGAUCGUAAAGCUCUGUCUUUUGGGACGAAUGUGCUCUUUGUGAAUAAUGAAGAGUAAUGACGGUACCGAAGGAGGAAGCCACGGCUAACUACGUGCCAGCAGCCGCGGUAAUACGUAGGUGGCAAGCGUUGUCCGGAAUUAUUGGGCGUAAAGCGCGCGCAGGCGGAAUAAUAAGUCUGUCGUGAAAGUGCGGGGCUCAACCCCGUGAUUGCAAUGGAAACUGUUAUUCUUGAGUGCAGGAGAGGAAAGUGGAAUUCCUAGUGUAGCGGUGAAAUGCGUAGAUAUUAGGAGGAACACCAGUGGCGAAGGCGACUUUCUGGACUGUGUCUGACGCUGAGGCGCGAAAGCCAGGGUAGUGAACG